Molecule: unclassified non-coding RNA, 2016 nt
Filed under: uncultured fungus
Lineage: Eukaryota; Fungi
Description: sequence contains 18S rRNA gene, ITS1, 5.8S rRNA gene, ITS2, 28S rRNA gene
Rfam family: Eukaryotic large subunit ribosomal RNA (bases 796-2016)
Source: RNAcentral
GGAUGGAUCAUUAACGUCAAUGAAAUUUAAGCAGACGAUGACCCUUAAACAAUUGUGGUCCAGUGACAAUCAACACAACUUGUCGUGUUGUCGUCUGUGUAAUAAUUCUCAUUAAUGUACACCCUUUGUGGUGAAAACAGGAAUAUUUUUAUUGUAGUAGUUAAUUUUUGAUUAAUAAUUCCACUUGUGGAGUUGUUUGAUAUCAGAGGUGCUAUUAUCAUCUAUAUAAAGACCCAAACAUUUAUUAACAUUUCUAAUGCUAAAGUAACCUUGUGAACUAAACAUUGAAAGCAAUUGAUAUAUUUGUUACCAAGUAAAACAAUUAAUAAAUCUAAUACAACUGCUAGCAACGGAUCACUCGGCUCUCGCGUCGAUGAAGAACGUAGCGAACUGCGAAAAUUAAUGCGACCCGCAACACGUGAGUCAUCGAGUCUUUGAACGCAUAUUGCACCCGACAGGUUCACUUGUCGGGUCUGCCUGUCUGAGUAUCAAUACGGACCCAAUCGAUAAAUAAUAUUUGUUGAAUUGGUGCUCACUAAUUUUUUAUUAGUGGAUUUGAAUGUUCAAUGAAUUCUUUUGUUGAUCAUUUGAAAUGUAUUGGUGAAUAUUAAUCAUUUUGAUAAUUGCCAACGGCUAAUUAAGCAUUGUUAAUCAUCUUUAAUUAGGUGUUCAUUGCUUACUAUAAAACCAUUGGAACCACGAUUAUCAAGCAUUGAGUAAAAUCGGUGUCUUGAUUUAUACCAUUCGCAUACCUUUAUUAAUUCAUUAUUAAUGGUAUACACUCUUUAACCAUCUUGAUCUCAGAUCAGGCAGGAUGACCCGCUGAACUUAAGCAUAUCAGUAAGCGGAGGAAAAGAAACUAACCAGGAUUCCCUUAGUAACGGCGAGUGAAGCGGGAAUAGCCCAAUCUGAAAAGCUAGUCUGCCCUGGUGCAGGUCUCGCAUUGUAGGUUGAUGAAUCGUUUCCUAGUGUUAAACCUUUCAAUUAAAGUUCCUUGGAACAGGACAUCAAAGAGGGUGAUAAUCCCGUGAUUAAUUGAAUGACAUACCAGUUUAACACGUCUAUGGAGCGUUUUCUUAGAGUCGGAAUGUUUGGGAUUGCAUUCCAAAGUGGGUGGUAAACUCCAUCUAAGGCUAAAUACUGGCGAGAGACCGAUAGCGAACAAGUACCGUGAGGGAAAGUUGAAAAGCACUCUGGAGAGAGAGUCAAACAGUACGUGAAAUUGCUAGCAGGGAAACGUUGGGCACCAGUACACGGCAAUUAAUGUUAAUGAUCAGUCGUUUUAUUAAUGAAUUGUAAUGUGGUGUUUUACUUUGAUGAUUGUCCUCGCGGCGACUAACAUAUUACAAAUUAUUAAUGAAUCGGUGCACUCUUUAACAGCCGGGUCAACAUCGGUUAAUGACGUCCGACAAGUCAGUGGACAAGGUAGCAUUGGUGGGUUCGCUCAUCUUUGAACUUAUAGGUCUAUUGUACGAGGAUGUUGUUGACCGAGGAUAGUCGAUUCGUGCGUUUCGGCGCAGGGCGUAUUAGUUUGGUUAAGGUUGCCCGUGGUAUUAAGCAGCAUGCUGAUUAAUAUUCAUUUUACUAUACUUGUAUAGUAGUGGCGAUCGCCAGAUUAAUACAAGCCACUAGCGAGUCAAUGAAGGUUGACGAAAUGGUAUUCAACGACCCGUCUUGAAACACGGACCAAGGAGUCUAACAUGUCUGCGAGUGUUUGGGUGGAAAACCCUUACGCGGAAUGAAAGUAAAGAGGCAAGUUUCGCACUUGUCCACUGGUAGGAAUCGAAGCGUUACGGCGCGACGAGGCACUACCGACCGACCUGUUACCCUCUGUGGUGGUAGGUUUGAGUUGGAGCAGUCCUGUUAGGACCCGAAAGAUGGUGAACUAUGCCUGAGCAGGAUGAAGUCAGAGGAAACUCUGAUGGAGGUCCGUAGCGGUUCUGACGUGCAAAUCGAUCGUCGGACUUGGGUAUAGGGGCGAAAGACUAAUCGAACCAUCUAGUAGCUGGUUCCUGC